RNAcentral lists this ribosomal RNA (200 nucleotides) under uncultured bacterium. Its description in RNAcentral is "partial 16S ribosomal RNA". It matches the Rfam family "Bacterial small subunit ribosomal RNA", at positions 8 to 198 of the family's 1533-position model. The record is from RNAcentral.
AGAGUUUGAUCCUGGCUCAGGACGAACGCUGGCGGCGUGCCUAACACAUGCAAGUCGAACGAGGUCCAUCGAGUGGCAACACUCGUGAAGAUCUAGUGGCGAACGGGUGCGUAACACGUGAGCAACCUGCCCCGAAGACUGGGAUAACGCCGGGAAACCGGUGCUAAUACCGGAUACCCCCACGAGCUCGCAUGGGCUUG